CCCUUAGAUGUUCUGGGCUGCACGCGUGCUACACUGAUUAUUUCAACAAGUGUUUUAACUGGAGAGUUUGCGUAAUCCUGAAAUGUUAUCGUGAUGGGAGUAGAGUAUUGUAUUUGUUAAUCUUUAACGAGGAAUUCCUAGUAAGUGUAGGUUUAUAAGUUGUUCUGAUUACGUCCCUGCCCUUUGUACACACCGCCCGUCGCUCCUACCGAUUGAUUGAUCCGGUGAAUUGCAUAGAAUUUUGCGUUUUACAUGACGGAAGACGAAGUGUUUUAAACCUUAUCAUUUAGAGGAAGGAGAAGUCGUAACA
Molecule: ribosomal RNA, 310 nt
Filed under: uncultured eukaryote
Lineage: Eukaryota
Description: partial 18S ribosomal RNA
Rfam family: Eukaryotic small subunit ribosomal RNA
Source: RNAcentral